GUGCUGCAGCUAACGCAUUAAGUAAUCCGCCUGGGGAGUACGACCGCAAGGUUGAAACUCAAAAGAAUUGACGGGGGCCCGCACAAGCGGUGGAGCAUGUGGUUUAAUUCGAAGCUACGCGAAGAACCUUACCAGGUCUUGACAUCUUCUGACAGUCUAAGAGAUUAGAGGUUCCCUUCGGGGACAGAAUGACAGGUGGUGCAUGGUUGUCGUCAGCUCGUGUCGUGAGAUGUUGGGUUAAGUCCCGCAACGAGCGCAACCCUUAUUACUAGUUGCCAGCAUUAAGUUGGGCACUCUAGUGAGACUGCCGGUGACAAACCGGAGGAAGGUGGGGACGACGUCAAAUCAUCAUGCCCCUUAUGACCUGGGCUACACACGUGCUACAAUGGAUGGUACAACGAGUCGCGAGACCGCGAGGUUAAGCUAAUCUCUUAAAACCAUUCUCAGUUCGGACUGUAGGCUGCAACUCGCCUACACGAAGUCGGAAUCGCUAGUAAUCGCGGAUCAGCAUGCCGCGGUGAAUACGUUCCCGGGCCUUGUACACACCGCCCGUCACACCAUGAGAGUUUGUAACACCCAAAGCCGGUGGGGUAACCUUUUAGGAGCUAGCCGUCUAAGGUGGGACAGAUGAUUAGGGUGAA
This 641-nucleotide ribosomal RNA is filed under the name Pediococcus sp. EKM201D. RNAcentral's name for it is "bacterial SSU rRNA". It matches the Rfam family "Bacterial small subunit ribosomal RNA", at positions 843 to 1484 of the family's 1533-position model. The record is from RNAcentral. Lineage: Bacteria; Bacillati; Bacillota; Bacilli; Lactobacillales; Lactobacillaceae.